Non-coding RNA from Prunus avium (sweet cherry), 1153 nucleotides. The record is from RefSeq and is a predicted model, not a curated record. Lineage: Eukaryota; Viridiplantae; Streptophyta; Magnoliopsida; Rosales; Rosaceae.
CCAAUUAGAAUAGGUUUGGAAAAACUCGAAACAAGCUCAAAUAUAAAGGAAUGUGGGGCCCGUUUGGUGUACGAGAGAGAUUUGGAAGAAUUUAGCCGAAUACUGAAAGUCCCAAAGCCAGCACUGCAUGCAUACGAUGACGAGGAUGACGAUGAUGAACCAGGAAUUGGUAGCUCUGAUGACGACGAUGAACCAGUCUGCAAAAGAUUGAAGAAAGUCUAAAUUAUUUUGUGCUUGGUGCAAUCAGUCAAUGAGGUCUCAAAAUAAUACUUGAAAAGCUAAUGACGAUGAUGGUCAAUCCUCAGAAUUCAUCUCAGAAAGGAAAGGAGAGGUGGUUAGUUGAUAAGGGAAGAAAGAAUAACAGAGAAGAAGAAGAGGCAAAAGGAACUGUGAGUUUUAGCUUUACAAAGACAUUAGCAGAAGUGGAGCAAUUAACUUAAUUAGAUUUUGAAAGAUUUUCCUCUCUUAAUUUCUUUUCAGUUCUCUUGGAAAAACAGUUGGCAUUAUCUGCUUGGGAAGAAUUGGCAAAGCCAGAGUUGAAGUACUAGGAAUACUAUCUAAGUUCCAUGGAGUUAGUUGGUUGUGUGAACUCUGAUCACUUCUGAGGAAACCAAUGACAUUGUCGAUUUUUAAGUCACUGAUGCUUGCUUUCCAAAGGGUAUUCUCGUUAACAUUGGAAGAGGCCUUAAUGUUGAUGAACCUGAGUCUCUGCGCUGCUGGAUGGUUUCUGCUGAAAUGGCUAUGGUGAUGAAAGGAUUACUAAAUCUGGUGAAUACGGAAGGUGCUCAAGUUGUAGAAAAACAGUGCUGGCUUGUUCUGCAAGGCUGGUGAAUGGAGGACACAUCAGCAUAAAAGCUUUCUGGCCUCCCCUUUGUUAUCUCUGCAAGUGACAAACUUGUUGGAACUCCUCUACAAGUUUGGCCUUUUGUGCUCCUUGUGGCAAUGACCUUGCUCUUGUAAUGGUAAAACAAAUAAGAAAAGGAAAUGCAAAUAUGGGGAAUGACAAAUCCAGCUAAACCUCUCAAUCCAAGAGCCAUCUCCACUAUCCUGUUUUUCUUUCAUGGACCCCAGCAUAUUGUGUUGUAGGACUUUUCUUGGGUCGAAUUAUUGUGUUUUAGGAUAGCGCUUCUAUAAUGCAGGGCCUUGGAUAAAA